UGUGCAUUUUCUGCUAAUUUUCUCAGUCCCGUUCUUUACAGAAAAUUCUAAAGUUUCCGUUUUCACUCCGAUUUCACCCAAACAUGUCCAAAAGAUACCAAGGGACCUUCACAAGCUACCAAUCCAAUUUGGAAGCAAUUCCUUUGCAUUUUGACAUUAUUGGAGCCGAAUUAGCAAUAGAAUCAGCUCCAAUUUCAUUAUAUGGCAGAAAUUUCUCCUUUUUGCACUACCACUUCGCACUGAACACUUCAAAACCCUUUGAAAGCACACCCUUGGCUUUUCCAAAACCUCACAAUUGAUUCGGAGAUACCACAAUUUAUCCUCACGCCUUACUUUAAUUCUUUUAAUCAAAGUUAGCGUCGGAAAUCCGAAAUUCUCUUUAUAUUUCGUUUCGCGCCCAAUUUGCGCCGAAACACUUAUUUAUCUCCAGAAUUCAUUCACACGCAUCACAAAUCACUCGCGGAUGAUGUCCAACUAGCUCAAUCCUCACUUUGACCCUCUAGGUCAAAGUUGACAUCGCAACUCCAAGUUUCCAUAUGUUACACU
This 546-nucleotide long non-coding RNA is filed under the name Ananas comosus (pineapple). RNAcentral's name for it is "long non-coding RNA (ACOM_LNC038789)". Lineage: Eukaryota; Viridiplantae; Streptophyta; Magnoliopsida; Poales; Bromeliaceae. The record is from RNAcentral.